Molecule: ribosomal RNA, 294 nt
Filed under: uncultured bacterium
Lineage: Bacteria
Description: partial 16S ribosomal RNA
Source: RNAcentral
GGACUACACGGGUAUCUAAUCCCGUUCGAUUCCCACGCUUUCGUGUUUCAGCGUCAGAAACGCGCCAGUACAGUGCCUUCGCAUUUGGUGUUCCCCAUGAUAUCAACGGAUUUCACCCCUACACCAUGAGUUCCCUGUACCUCUCGCGCCCUCGUAGCUAUACCGUUUCCUCUGCAUUCUCUGGGUUGAGCCCAAAGACUUUAACAAAAGACUAAUAUCGCCGCCUACACACCCUUUACGCCCAGUGAUUCCGGAUAAUGCUCGGGGCCUCUGUAUUACCGCGGCGGCUGGCAC